UACGUAGGGGGCAAGCGUUGUCCGGAUUCAUUGGGCGUAAAGGGCGCGUAGGUGGCCUAUUAAGUCGGGUGUGAAAACUCUGGGCUCAACCCAGAGCCUGCAUUCGAUACUGAUGGGCUAGAGUUCUGGAGGGGAAAGCGGAAUUCCUGGUGUAGCGGUGAAAUGCGUAGAUAUCAGGAGGAACACCGGUGGCGAAGGCGGCAUUCUGGACCGAUAUUGACGCUGAGGAGCGAAAGCCAGGGGAGCAAACGGG
This 253-nucleotide ribosomal RNA is filed under the name uncultured bacterium. RNAcentral's name for it is "partial 16S ribosomal RNA". It matches the Rfam family "Bacterial small subunit ribosomal RNA", at positions 524 to 776 of the family's 1533-position model. The record is from RNAcentral.